This 253-nucleotide ribosomal RNA is filed under the name uncultured bacterium. Its description in RNAcentral is "partial 16S ribosomal RNA". It matches the Rfam family "Bacterial small subunit ribosomal RNA", at positions 524 to 776 of the family's 1533-position model. The record is from RNAcentral.
CACGGGGGGAGCAAGCGUUGUUCGGAAUCACUGGGCGUAAAGGGCGUGUAGGCGGUCAAGUAAGUGGAAUGUGAAAGCCCCCGGCUUACCCGGGGAUCUGCAUCCCAAACUGCUUGGCUUGAGUACGGGAGAGGAUAGGGGAAUUCCUGGUGUAGCGGUGAAAUGCGUAGAUAUCAGGAGGAACACCGGUGGCGAAGGCGCCUAUCUGGCCCGAUACUGACGCUGAGACACGAAAGCGUGGGUAGCAAACAGG